GACGAACGCUGGCGGCGCGCCUAACACAUGCAAGUCGAACGAGCGAGAGGAGGUUUCCUUUCUCAAGCGAGUGGCGAACGGGUGAGUAACGCGUGAGGAACCUGCCUCAAAGAGGGGGACAACAGUUGGAAACGACUGCUAAUACCGCAUGAGCCCACGACCCGGCAUCGGGUAGAGGGAAAAGGAGCAAUCCGCUUUGAGAUGGCCUCGCGUCCGAUUAGCUAGUUGGUGAGGUAAUGGCCCACCAAGGCGACGAUCGGUAGCCGGACUGAGAGGUUGAACGGCCACAUUGGGACUGAGACACGGCCCAGACUCCUACGGGAGGCAGCAGUGGGGAAUAUUGCACAAUGGGGGAAACCCUGAUGCAGCGACGCCGCGUGGAGGAAGAAGGUCUUCGGAUUGUAAACUCCUGUUGUUGAGGAAGAUAAUGACGGUACUCAACAAGGAAGUGACGGCUAACUACGUG
This 466-nucleotide ribosomal RNA is filed under the name uncultured bacterium. RNAcentral describes it as "partial 16S ribosomal RNA". It matches the Rfam family "Bacterial small subunit ribosomal RNA", at positions 28 to 507 of the family's 1533-position model. The record is from RNAcentral.